AGAACGAACGCUGGCGGCAGGCCUAACACAUGCAAGUCGAACGCCCCGCAAGGGGAGUGGCAGACGGGUGAGUAACGCGUGGGAACGUGCCCUAAGGUACGGAACAACUCCGGGAAACUGGAGCUAAUACCGUAUGUGCCCGAGAGGGGAAAGAUUUAUCGCCUUGGGAUCGGCCCGCGUCUGAUUAGCUAGUUGGUAGGGUAACGGCCUACCAAGGCUACGAUCAGUAGCUGGUCUGAGAGGAUGACCAGCCACACUGGGACUGAGACACGGCCCAGACUCCUACGGGAGGCAGCAGUGGGGAAUAUUGGACAAUGGGCGAAAGCCUGAUCCAGCCAUGCCGCGUGAGUGAUGAAGGCCUUAGGGUUGUAAAGCUCUUUCGGUGGGGACGAUAAUGACGGUACCCGCAGAAGAAGCCCCGGCUAACUUCGUGCCAGCAGCCGC
This 444-nucleotide ribosomal RNA is filed under the name uncultured bacterium. Its description in RNAcentral is "SSU rRNA". It matches the Rfam family "Bacterial small subunit ribosomal RNA", at positions 26 to 518 of the family's 1533-position model. The record is from RNAcentral.